CCCGCACAAGCGGAGAACAUGUGGUUUAAUUCGAUGAUACGCGAGGAACCUUACCUGGGCUUAAAUGUAGAGUGCUAUUUUUUAGAGAUAGAAAUUCCCUUCGGGGCUUUCUGCAAGGUGCUGCAUGGUUGUCGUCAGCUCGUGCCGUGAGGUGUCGGGUUAAGUCCCAUAACGAGCGCAACCCUUAUCGUUAGUUGCCAUCUGGUAAUGCAGGGGACUCUAGCGAAACUGCCACCGUAAGGUGAGAGGAAGUGGGGAUGACGUCAAAUCAGCACGGCCCUUAUGUCCAGGGCUACACACGUGUUACAAUGGUCGGUACAGAGGGCAGCUACCUGGUGACAGGAUGCUAAUCUCGAAAACCGGUCUCAGUUCGGAUCGAAGUCUGCAACUCGACUUCGUGAAGCUGGAUUCGCUAGUAAUCGCGCAUCAGCUAUGGCGCGGUGAAUACGUUCCCGGGCCUU
This 461-nucleotide ribosomal RNA is filed under the name uncultured Sphingobacteriales bacterium. Its description in RNAcentral is "bacterial SSU rRNA". It matches the Rfam family "Bacterial small subunit ribosomal RNA", at positions 920 to 1382 of the family's 1533-position model. Lineage: Bacteria; Pseudomonadati; Bacteroidota; Sphingobacteriia; Sphingobacteriales. The record is from RNAcentral.